This 253-nucleotide ribosomal RNA is filed under the name uncultured bacterium. RNAcentral's name for it is "partial 16S ribosomal RNA". It matches the Rfam family "Bacterial small subunit ribosomal RNA", at positions 524 to 776 of the family's 1533-position model. The record is from RNAcentral.
UACAGAGGGUGCGAGCGUUAAUCGGAAUUACUGGGCGUAAAGCGCACGUAGGCGGCUUGGUAUGUCGGGUGUGAAAUCCCCGGGCUCAACCUGGGAACUGCAUCCGAAACUGCCUUGCUCGAGUAUGGGAGAGGGAAGUGGAAUUUCCGGUGUAGCGGUGAAAUGCGUAGAUAUCGGAAGGAACAUCAGUGGCGAAGGUGACUUCCUGGACCAAUACUGACGCUCAGGUGCGAAAGCGUGGGGAGCAAACAGG